RNAcentral lists this ribosomal RNA (253 nucleotides) under uncultured bacterium. RNAcentral describes it as "partial 16S ribosomal RNA". It matches the Rfam family "Bacterial small subunit ribosomal RNA", at positions 524 to 776 of the family's 1533-position model. The record is from RNAcentral.
UACGGGGGGGGCAAGCGUUGUUCGGAAUUACUGGGCGUAAAGGGCUCGUAGGCGGCCAACUAAGUCAGACGUGAAAUCCCUCAGCUUAACUGGGGAACUGCGUCUGAUACUGGAUGGCUUGAGUUCGGGAGAGGGAUGCGGAAUUCCAGGUGUAGCGGUGAAAUGCGUAGAUAUCUGGAGGAACACCGAUGGCGAAGGCGGCAUCCUGGACCGACACUGACGCUGAGGAGCGAAAGCCAGGGGAGCAAACGGG